GGAUUGACACAUCGGUCGUGCCUUAAGGGGUAUGAACUGGUGUAGUCAAUUUCUCACCUUCUGGAGAACCGCAAUGCCCUUAAUUGGGUGUCGCGGGGAACCAGGACUUUUACUUUGAAAAAAUUAGAGUGUUUAAAGCAGGCGUUAGCUUGAAUACAUUAGCAUGGAAUAAUAGAAUAGGACUUUGGUUCUAUUUUGUUGGUUUCUAGGACCGAAGUA
Molecule: ribosomal RNA, 219 nt
Filed under: Campeiostachys nutans
Lineage: Eukaryota; Viridiplantae; Streptophyta; Magnoliopsida; Poales; Poaceae
Description: Elymus nutans partial small subunit ribosomal RNA
Rfam family: Eukaryotic small subunit ribosomal RNA (bases 23-219)
Source: RNAcentral